RNAcentral lists this ribosomal RNA (1739 nucleotides) under uncultured Bordetella sp. RNAcentral's name for it is "partial 16S-23S ribosomal RNA intergenic spacer". The stretch from base 319 to 1739 matches the Rfam family "Bacterial small subunit ribosomal RNA". Lineage: Bacteria; Pseudomonadati; Pseudomonadota; Betaproteobacteria; Burkholderiales; Alcaligenaceae. The record is from RNAcentral.
CGAGCCGCGAGGUGGAGCUAAUCCACAAAACUGAUCGUAGUCCGGAUCGCAGUCGAGUUGCAGACUGCGAUCCGGACUACGAUCAAGCUCUGGGAUUGGCUCCCCUCGCGGGUUACACCUCGUCCCGACCGUAUGACGUGUGAAGCCCUACCCAUAAGGGCCAUGAGGACUUCCACGUCAUCCCCACCUUCCUCCGGUUUGUCAAUGGCAGUCUCAUUAGAGUGCCCUUUCGUAGCAACUAAUGACAUGGGUUGCGCUUCGCCAGGAUCUCUAACCUGACACGAGCUGACGAUGGCCAUGCAGCACCUGUGUUCCGGUUCUCUUGCGAGCACUCCCCAAAUCUCUUUCGGGAUUCCAGACAUGUCAAGGGUAGGUAAGGUUUUUCGCGUUGCAUCGAAUUAAUCCACAUCAUCCACCGCUUGUGUGGGUCCCCGUCAAUUCCUUUGAGUUUUAAUCUUGCGACCGUACUUCCCAGGCGGUCAACUUCACGCGUUAGCUGCGCUACCGUUCGAAGGCCCCAACAGCUAGUUGGUAGGGUAACGGCUCACCGCGCGACGAUCCGUAGCUGGUUUGAGAGGACGACCAGCCACACUGGGACUGGAGACACGGCCCAGACUCCUACGGGAGGCAGCAGUGGGGAAUUUUGGACAAUGGGGGAAACCCUGAUCCAGCCAUCCCGCGUGUGCGAUGAAGGCCUUCGGGUUGUAAAGCACUUUGGCAGGAGGAAUGACACGGGAUAAUACCCCCGUGCACCGACGGUGCCUGCAGAAUAAGCACCGGCUAACUACGUGCCAGCAGCCGCGGUAAUACGUAGGGUGCAAGCGUUAAUCGGAAUUACUGGGCGUGUAAAGCGUGCGCAGGCGGUUCGGAAAGAAAGAUGUGAAAUCCCAGAGCUUAACUUUUGAACUGCAUUUUUAACUACCGAGCUAGAGGUCAGAGGAGGUGGAAUUCGCGUGUAGCAGAAAUGCGUAGAUAUGCGAGGAACACCGAUGGUGAAGGCAGCCUCCUGGGAUAACACUGACGCUCAUGCACGAAAGCGUGGGGAGCAACAGAUUAGAUACCCUGGUAGUCCACGCCCAAACGAUGUCAAUCUUAAUGCGGCAGAAGUUGACCUGGCCUGGGGGAGUAUGGUCGCAAGAUUAAAACUCAAAGGAAUUGACGGGGACCCGCACAAGCGGUGGAUGAUGGGAUUAAUUCGAUGCAACGCGAAAAACCUUACCUACCCUUGGCGGCUCCGGAAUCCCGAAGAGAUUUCCGGGAGUGCUCGCAAGAGAACCGAACACAGGUGCUGCAUGGCUGUCGUCAGCUCGUAAAUGAGAUGCUGGGUUAAGUCCCGCAACGAGCGCAACCCUUGUCAUUAGUUGCUGGCGAAAGGGCACUCUAAUGAGACUGCCGGUGACAAACCGGAGGAAGGUGGGGAUGACGUCAAGUCCUCAUGGCCCUUAUGGGUAGGGCUUCACACGUCAUACAAUGGUCGGGACAGAGGGCUUCAACCCGCGAGGGGGAGCCAAUCCCAGAAACCCGAUCGGUCCGGAUCGCAGUCUGCAACUCGACUGCGUGAAGUCGGAAUCGCUAGUAAUCGCGGAUCAGCAUGUCGCGGUGAAUCACGUUCCCGGGUCUUGUACACACCGCCCGUCACACCAUGGGAGUGGGGUUUUACCAGAAGUAGUUAGCCUAACCGUAAGGAGGGCGAUUACCACGGUAGGAUUCAUGACUGGGGUGAAGUCGUAACAAGGUAG